GCUUUCGUGGUGUACUGGUAGCACACCCGACCGGUAUUCGAGAGGUCCGGGUUCAAGCCCCGGCGAGGGCA
This 71-nucleotide transfer RNA is filed under the name Stegodyphus mimosarum. It matches the Rfam family "tRNA". From Rfam's summary of the family: Transfer RNA (tRNA) molecules are approximately 80 nucleotides in length. Their secondary structure includes four short double-helical elements and three loops (D, anti-codon, and T loops). Further hydrogen bonds mediate the characteristic L-shaped molecular structure. tRNAs have two regions of fundamental functional importance: the anti-codon, which is responsible for specific mRNA codon recognition, and the 3' end, to which the tRNAs corresponding amino acid is attached (by aminoacyl-tRNA synthetases). tRNAs cope with the degeneracy of the genetic code in two manners: having more than one tRNA (with a specific anti-codon) for a particular amino acid; and 'wobble' base-pairing, i.e. permitting non-standard base-pairing at the 3rd anti-codon position. Lineage: Eukaryota; Metazoa; Arthropoda; Arachnida; Araneae; Eresidae. The record is from Rfam by way of RNAcentral.